This 448-nucleotide ribosomal RNA is filed under the name uncultured bacterium. RNAcentral describes it as "SSU rRNA". It matches the Rfam family "Bacterial small subunit ribosomal RNA", at positions 26 to 518 of the family's 1533-position model. The record is from RNAcentral.
AGGAUGAACGCUGGCGGUCUGCUUAACACAUGCAAGUCGAACGGAGUAGCAAUACUUAGUGGCGGACGGGUGAGUAACGCGUGAGAAUCUACCUUCAGGACGGAGACAACAGUUGGAAACGACUGCUAACCCCCGAUGUACUGAAAAGGCAAAUAUUUAUAGCCUGAAGAAGAGCUCGCGUCCGAUUAGCUAGUUGGAGAGGUAAAAGCUCACCAAGGCGACGAUCGGUAGCUGGUCUGAGAGGACGAUCAGCCACACUGGGACUGAGACACGGCCCAGACUCCUACGGGAGGCAGCAGUGGGGAAUUUUCCGCAAUGGGCGAAAGCCUGACGGAGCAAGACCGCGUGGGGGAAGAAGGCUCGUUGGGUUGUAAACCCUUUUCUCUGGGAAGAACACAAUGACGGUACCAGAGGAAUCAGCAUCGGCUAACUCCGUGCCAGCAGCCGC